Molecule: transfer RNA, 17 nt
Filed under: Hoplobatrachus rugulosus (rugose frog)
Lineage: Eukaryota; Metazoa; Chordata; Amphibia; Anura; Dicroglossidae
Description: partial tRNA-Phe
Source: RNAcentral
AAAAGUUCUGAGGGCAC